GGAAAAUACAUUUGACCUGGUGGUUAGCAGCUUAAGUUUGCACUGGGUGAAUGACCUUCCUAGAGCACUUGAACAGAUUCAUUGUGUCUUAAAACCAGACGGGGCGUUUGUUGGUG
Long non-coding RNA from Onychomys torridus (southern grasshopper mouse), 116 nucleotides. RefSeq lists it as uncharacterized. Lineage: Eukaryota; Metazoa; Chordata; Mammalia; Rodentia; Cricetidae. The transcript has 3 exons. The record is from RefSeq and is a predicted model, not a curated record.